AUUGUCGGAUUGGGAGCAAGAAGGCAUGCUCUGCUUACAUGAAUUGAUUAGUAGAGAAGAAGGACUGGUAGACGAUAUUCCACGUUUAAGGAAAUAUUUCAAGACCAAGUUUCGAAAUCGAAUUUUAGACUAUAUCCGUAAACAGGAAAGUCAGAAGCGUAGAUACGAUAAAGAACCCUAUGAAGAAGUGGGUGAGAUCAGUCAUCGUAUAAGUGAGGGGGGUCUCUGGCUAGAUGAUUAUUAUCUCUUUCAUGAAACACUAAGAGAUUAUAGAAACAAACAAAGUAAAGAGAAACAAGAAGAACUAGAACGCGUCUUAAGCAAUGAACGAUUUCGAGGGCGUCAAAGAGUAUUAAGAGACUUACGCAUUGUGUUUAAGGAGUUUACUAUCCGUACCCAUUAGUAAGUCAUGCAAAAAAAAUGAAAAAAAUUAGAAAAAGUAGUUGACAAAGUUUGAAAAGACUGUAUAAUAGUAAGAGUUGAAAAUAACAACUCAGGUCCGUUGGUCAAGGGGUUAAGACACCGCCUUUUCACGGCGGUAACACGGGUUCGAAUCCCGUACGGACUAUGGUAUGUUGCGUCAGGAGCACUUGAUGAAAAAAAGUUUAAAAAAACUUAAAAAUCUUCAAAAAAGUGUUGACAAGUGAAAGUGGCUGUGAUAUACUAAUAUAGUUGUCGCUUGAGAGAAGCAAGUGACAAAGACCUUUGAAAACUGAACAAGACGAACCAAUGUGCAGGGCGCUACAACAUAAGUUGUAGUACUGAACAAUGAAAAAACAAUAAAUCUGUCAGUGACAGAAAUGAGUNNNNNNNNNNNNNNNNNNNNNNNNNNNNNNNNNNNNNNNNNNNNNNNNNNNNGAUGUUGCAUGACAUUUGCUUAAAAGGUGCACUUGCAUCACUACCAGAUGGACCUGCGUUGUAUUAGCUAGUUGGUGGGGUAACGGCUCACCAAGGCGACGAUACAUAGCCGACCUGAGAGGGUGAUCGGCCACACUGGGACUGAGACACGGCCCAGACUCCUACGGGAGGCAGCAGUAGGGAAUCUUCGGCAAUGGACGGAAGUCUGACCGAGCAACGCCGCGUGAGUGAAGAAGGUUUUCGGAUCGUAAAGCUCUGUUGUAAGAGAAGAACGAGUGUGAGAGUGGAAAGUUCACACUGUGACGGUAUCUUACCAGAAAGGGACGGCUAACUACGUGCCAGCAGCCGCGGUAAUACGUAGGUCCCGAGCGUUGUCCGGAUUUAUUGGGCGUAAAGCGAGCGCAGGCGGUUAGAUAAGUCUGAAGUUAAAGGCUGUGGCUUAACCAUAGUAGGCUUUGGAAACUGUUUAACUUGAGUGCAAGAGGGGAGAGUGGAAUUCCAUGUGUAGCGGUGAAAUGCGUAGAUAUAUGGAGGAACACCGGUGGCGAAAGCGGCUCUCUGGCUUGUAACUGACGCUGAGGCUCGAAAGCGUGGGGAGCAAACAGGAUUAGAUACCCUGGUAGUCCACGCUGUAAACGAUGAGUGCUAGGUGUUAGACCCUUUCCGGGGUUUAGUGCCGUAGCUAACGCAUUAAGCACUCCGCCUGGGGAGUACGACCGCAAGGUUGAAACUCAAAGGAAUUGACGGGGGCCCGCACAAGCGGUGGAGCAUGUGGUUUAAUUCGAAGCAACGCGAAGAACCUUACCAGGUCUUGACAUCCCUCUGACCGCUCUAGAGAUAGAGCUUUCCUUCGGGACAGAGGUGACAGGUGGUGCAUGGUUGUCGUCAGCUCGUGUCGUGAGAUGUUGGGUUAAGUCCCGCAACGAGCGCAACCCCUAUUGUUAGUUGCCAUCAUUCAGUUGGGCACUCUAGCGAGACUGCCGGUAAUAAACCGGAGGAAGGUGGGGAUGACGUCAAAUCAUCAUGCCCCUUAUGACCUGGGCUACACACGUGCUACAAUGGCUGGUACAACGAGUCGCAAGCCGGUGACGGCAAGCUAAUCUCUUAAAGCCAGUCUCAGUUCGGAUUGUAGGCUGCAACUCGCCUACAUGAAGUCGGAAUCGCUAGUAAUCGCGGAUCAGCACGCCGCGGUGAAUACGUUCCCGGGCCUUGUACACACCGCCCGUCACACCACGAGAGUUUGUAACACCCGAAGUCGGUGAGGUAACCGUAAGGAGCCAGCCGCCUAAGGUGGGAUAGAUGAUUGGGGUGAAGUCGUAACAAGGUAGCCGUAUCGGAAGGUGCGGCUGGAUCACCU
Molecule: ribosomal RNA, 2215 nt
Filed under: Streptococcus pneumoniae
Lineage: Bacteria; Bacillati; Bacillota; Bacilli; Lactobacillales; Streptococcaceae
Description: 16S ribosomal RNA
Rfam family: Bacterial small subunit ribosomal RNA (bases 647-2215)
Source: RNAcentral